Lactuca sativa (garden lettuce) is the source of this 851-nucleotide non-coding RNA. The record is from RefSeq and is a predicted model, not a curated record. NCBI's taxonomy places the organism in Eukaryota, Viridiplantae, Streptophyta, Magnoliopsida, Asterales, Asteraceae.
AAUAAUACUAUUCGCCAACAAUAUCAGUCCAAUCUUCCCUAAUUUCUCUCCCAUUACCCACCGCUCCAUCUUCCCUACCUUCUAUGCCCUACAUCAGUCAAAUCUUCAUGUUUUCUCUUUAUUCCUUAUUGGAAGACCACAAUCGUCUAUGACAACGAAGAAAUCACGCCCACGGUCUCUGGAAACGAUGAAUCCGCACCCACUAAUCUUGGUUCGAGGUUUUCACGGUAUAUAGGUUUUGUUCAUCUGCUUCGUGGCUUUAUCACUGACUUCCUCUUUGUGUUCGAGAGCUACAAGAUAUGUAACCACGGAAUAGUAAACUUAAAUGAAGAAGAAUACUUGGAAUUUGGUGAUCAAAAAAUCUUGGUCAAACCCUAGCUAACUGGGUGAGAUAUGAAUUAUACGAUAAAUAAACAGAUUAUGGAGACCUAGCAAAAGGGGAAGAUGAUACACAAGAUUAUGAUGGUAUAUAUCUUCCUUGUUGUAUGUGGUAUGUCCCAACAUCCAUCUCCCUAUAUUGGUUUCAGUUAUAAGAAGUAGUUUCCAGUGACCCGAAAGGUGGAUGCAAACUGAUUAGGAUUACGGCUUCAAUGUAAAGCCAUUUGGUCUGAUAUGUUGCCUCCUAUUAAUCUGUGUUAUCCUUCAUCAGAUGCACUCAUGUUCAAGGUCAAGAUUGUGUACAAAGAAACCUGAAUCUUUAUCGCAUCCUUGGGUUUUUUUAAUGAUUUUUGGUUGAAAGUGAUACUAAUGAUGUAUUUGAAAGCUUAAUUUUUUUUUUUUGUUAUCUAUAUUAGCCAUUUUAUUAAACUUCUAUUUUGCAAUAACAUUGUCUCUUUAUACUUUCUCUGAAA